Molecule: RNA transcript, 1086 nt
Organism: Humulus lupulus (European hop)
Lineage: Eukaryota; Viridiplantae; Streptophyta; Magnoliopsida; Rosales; Cannabaceae
Gene name: alpha-mannosidase At3g26720-like
Exons: 8
Source: RefSeq, a predicted model, not a curated record
GUUCUAGGCUUCUCUAACUAUGGUUCGAGGUCCGCUACUGGAUGAAGUACACCAACGGCUCAAUCCAUGGAUAUCUCAGAUUGGACCUAUACCUGUGGAUGAUAGCAUAGGAAAAGAAAUCACUACUCAAAUUACAACAGCCUUAAAGACUAAUGGAACAUUCUACACAGAUUCUAACGGACGUGACUUCAUUAAGAGGAUUAAUCUUGGAAUAUACAUGCAAGACAGUAUCUCAGAAUUGCCAAUGUUGGUUGACCGUUCAGUUGGGGGAUCCAGUUUAGUGGAUGGUCAGAUAGAGCUUAUGCUCCACAGCAAUCCUGGUCACCCAUUUGCUGCAGGUGUGACCUUGGAGAAACUCUUAGCUUCCUUCUGAGUGGGUCCAGAUUGAUGUAGGCAUUGGAUCUUCAUCAUUUGCAAAAUCACAGGGCCCGGAAUGACUCAUUGAUAGUGGAUGUUUUCCAGGGCCAAUAUAAGUCGACACUGGUUUGCCCAGCAUGUGGAAAGAUUUCAAUCACUUUUGAUCCCUUCAUGUAUUUGUCGUUGCCGCUACCUUCAACUGCAACUCGGCAAAUAACGGUGACUGUGUUUUACGGCGAUGGAAGUGGUCUUCCUAUGCUAUACACUGUUAGUUUGCUAAAGCAAGGUUGCUGUAAAGAUCUUAGUGAACAACUAAGUAAUGCUUGUUGCUUGAAUGCUGAUGAGAUUCUUCUGCUUGCAGAGGUUUAUGAACAUAAGAUUUUUCGAUAUUUGGAAAACCCCUCAGAGCUAUUGGCUCCAAUUAAGGAGGAUGACCACUUAUAGACUUUCUAAAAACGUCGUGGGAAGAUCCAGAGUUGAAAUAAUUCAUCGACCACAUGAAAAGUGCCCGUCAGACAGUGUUAAGGGUUGUCAGGGAAAGCUUAUCAGUACCCCUUUUGUUACUUAUUUAAAAGAGCCAAUAUGUGGAGCCAAUGUUGAAGCCGCUAUUACUAGAUUGUUGUCACCUUUGAAGAGAACGCGUCCUUCGGUUAAGCUCCAGAAUGGUAAGGAAAAUGGAUUUGAAAAAGAGGUUAUUGAAGAACCAUCAAACAGCUACAAUUCUAAGAA